RNAcentral lists this long non-coding RNA (664 nucleotides) under Helianthus annuus (common sunflower). RNAcentral's name for it is "hypothetical non coding rna". Lineage: Eukaryota; Viridiplantae; Streptophyta; Magnoliopsida; Asterales; Asteraceae. The record is from RNAcentral.
GUGGGUGUGUGUGACCGUGAGAACAAGACCAAGGGGGAAACCCUAUUUCUUCAAAAUCUUGCAAAUUAAAGGAGAAAAGGGCUAAAUUUUGAAUGCAUGAACUAAGAAUGAUGAUCAUCUAAGCAUACCCAACAUCAAGUGAUUUAGAACAAUAUGCAUAUGGCUAGAGUGACAAAUUGUGAGGAACGUGUCAAGGAGAGGUCAAGCAUAGGAGGAUAACGGGUCAAGAUAAGGCAAGGUGACAAAUACACUUAUUGGAGUACUCGAGGUAUGGGAUCGUUGGCUUCAUGAAAAAAAUGGAGCUGGAUUUGGAUAAGAGUAUUUAAGAAAGCGCUUGGACAAUUCCACGACUACUUUAUAGAAUGCUCUACGAAAUUUUAUUAUAUAGUUUAAUGUUGAAUGGUAUGUUAAUGACUAAUGGUUUGGUUGUACGUGGUGUCCACAGGUAUCGCUUGGGUUUUCUCUACAUUUAUUGAAGUGAAGCGGACUUAGUUCGAGUUGAGAGCAAGGAUUGUACGGGGUAGAAUGGUCACAUAGUGUAACUCAUAUAGGUUUUGAAGUAUUAAUGUUAUAAAACGUUAUAAAUCCGUUUUAAUGAAUAUAUGGCAUUUCGCACUUGAACCUUCAUGUGUUUGAUAUGUCUAUUAAAGAACGAAAUUUUUGG